RNAcentral lists this ribosomal RNA (329 nucleotides) under uncultured eukaryote. RNAcentral describes it as "partial 18S ribosomal RNA". It matches the Rfam family "Eukaryotic small subunit ribosomal RNA", at positions 1470 to 1796 of the family's 1831-position model. The record is from RNAcentral.
CCCUUAGAUGUUCUGGGCCGCACGCGUGCUACACUGACCGGCGCAACAAGUUUCUUUCCUUGGCUCGAUAGGCCUGGGUAAUCUUUGAACGCCGGUCGUGAUGGGGAUAGAUCCUUGCAAUUUUUGAUCUUCAACGAGGAAUUCCUAGUAAAUGCGAGUCAUCAUCUCGCGUUGAUUACGUCCCUGCCCUUUGUACACACCGCCCGUCGCACCUACCGAUUGAAUGGUCCGGUGAAGCGUUCGGACCGUGGCCUUUGGACGGUUCGCCGUCUGUUGGCUGCGGGAAGUUCGUUAAACCUUAUCAUUUAGAGGAAGGAGAAGUCGUAACA